UGGGGAAUCUUGCGCAAUGGGCGAAAGCCUGACGCAGCGACGCCGCGUGCGGGAUGACGGCCUUCGGGUUGUAAACCGCUUUCAGCAGGGACGAGGCCGCAAGGUGACGGUACCUGCAGAAGAAGCCCCGGCUAACUACGUGCC
This 144-nucleotide ribosomal RNA is filed under the name uncultured bacterium. Its description in RNAcentral is "partial 16S ribosomal RNA". It matches the Rfam family "Bacterial small subunit ribosomal RNA", at positions 355 to 509 of the family's 1533-position model. The record is from RNAcentral.